RNAcentral lists this unclassified non-coding RNA (276 nucleotides) under Hevea brasiliensis (rubber tree). Lineage: Eukaryota; Viridiplantae; Streptophyta; Magnoliopsida; Malpighiales; Euphorbiaceae. The record is from RNAcentral.
UGAGGGUGAUAUCAACAUGGGUUUGUAGAGACGGAGAUGAAGGUUGUGAGUUUUGUCAAAGAGACAAUCACUGAAGAGGAUGGAGCUGUUAUUGUUGACGGGUAGAUUGAAAUCUGUAGUUUUGGACCUAAAAAUGGUACCAUCACUGAAGAGUUGGAGAACACCCAUGCAGUCUUCUACUAUAUGAGGGAGAGAACUCAUUCUUUUUGUUGUGUUUUUGGUUUCUUUGUUCUUCUCUUAGGGAUAUGAAUAUGAUACUUUGGCAAUGGAGAUGCA